GUCUACGGCCAUGCCACCCUGAACAAGCCCGAUCCCAUCUGAUCUCGAGAGCAAAGCAGGUUCGGGCCUGGUUAGUACUUGGAUGGGAGACCACCUAGGAGGACCAGGUGCUGUAAGCA
RNAcentral lists this ribosomal RNA (119 nucleotides) under Pteropus alecto (black flying fox). Lineage: Eukaryota; Metazoa; Chordata; Mammalia; Chiroptera; Pteropodidae. The record is from RNAcentral.